UACGAAGGGGGCUAGCGUUGCUCGGAAUCACUGGGCGUAAAGCGCACGUAGGCGGACUCUUAAGUCGGUGGUGAAAUCCUGGAGCUCAACUCCAGAACUGCCUUUGAUACUGGAAAGCUUGAGUUCGGGAGAGGUGAGUGGAACUGCGAGUGUAGAGGUGAAAUUCGUAGAUAUUCGCAAGAACACCAGUGGCGAAGGCGGCUCACUGGCCCGAUACUGACGCUGAGGUGGCGAAAGCGUGGGGAGCAAACAGG
This 254-nucleotide ribosomal RNA is filed under the name uncultured bacterium. Its description in RNAcentral is "partial 16S ribosomal RNA". It matches the Rfam family "Bacterial small subunit ribosomal RNA", at positions 524 to 776 of the family's 1533-position model. The record is from RNAcentral.